GGCCAGCAGCCGCGGUAAUACGUAGGUGGCAAGCGUUGUCCGGAUUUACUGGGCGUAAAGGAUGCGUAGGCGGAUAUGUAAGUCAGAUGUGAAAUUCCCGGGCUUAACUUGGGAACUGCAUUUGAAACUGCAUGUCUAGAGUGCAGGAGAGGAAAGUGGAAUUCCUAGUGUAGCGGUGAAAUGCGUAGAGAUUAGGAAGAACACCAGUGGCGAAGGCGACUUUCUGGACUGUAACUGACGCUGAGGCAUGAAAGCGUGGGGAGCAAACAGGAUUAGAUACCCUGGUAGUCCACGCUGUAAACGAUGGGUACUAGGUGUGGGAGGUAUCGACUCCUUCCGUGCCGCAGUUAACACAAUAAGUACCCCGCCUGGGGAGUACGGUCGCAAGAUUAAAACUUAAAGGAAUUGGCGGGGGA
This 416-nucleotide ribosomal RNA is filed under the name uncultured bacterium. RNAcentral describes it as "bacterial SSU rRNA". It matches the Rfam family "Bacterial small subunit ribosomal RNA", at positions 506 to 920 of the family's 1533-position model. The record is from RNAcentral.